Non-coding RNA from Otolemur garnettii (small-eared galago), 301 nucleotides. The record is from Rfam. Lineage: Eukaryota; Metazoa; Chordata; Mammalia; Primates; Galagidae.
ACCGGACAGGGUGGCGUGUGUCUGUAGUCCCAGUUACUUGGGAGGGAGGCUGAGACAGGAGGAUCGCUUGCAUCCAGGAGUUCUGGGCUGUAGUGCACUGAUCAGGUGUCUGCACUAAGUUUAGCAUCAAUAUCACCAUAUUGACUGCCCAGGAGUGGGCCACAGGUUGCCUAAGUAGGGGUGAACUGGCCCAGGCCAGAAAUGGAGAAGGUCAAAACUCCCGUGGCUGAUCAGUAGUGGGAUCGCAACUAUGAAUAGCCACUGCACUCCAGCCUGGGCACAUAGCAGGCUCCCAUCUCUU